This 245-nucleotide ribosomal RNA is filed under the name Bacillus thuringiensis. RNAcentral describes it as "partial 16S ribosomal RNA". It matches the Rfam family "Bacterial small subunit ribosomal RNA", at positions 1295 to 1533 of the family's 1533-position model. The record is from RNAcentral. Lineage: Bacteria; Bacillati; Bacillota; Bacilli; Caryophanales; Bacillaceae.
GGAUUGAAGUCUGUAACUCGACUUCAUGAAGUCGGAAUCGCUAGUAAUCGUAGAUCAGCUACGCUACGGUGAAUACGUUCUCGGGUUUUGUACACACCGCCCGUCGCACCAUGUGAGUUGGUAAUGCCCAAAGUCGGUGAGUUAACUUCGGAGACCAUUGCCUAAGGCAGGACUGAUGACUGGGGUAAAGUCGUAACAAGGUAUCCCUACGAGAACGUGGGGAUGGAACACCUCCUUUCUACGGA